Saccostrea cuccullata (small rock oyster) is the source of this 603-nucleotide long non-coding RNA. RefSeq lists it as uncharacterized. The record is from RefSeq and is a predicted model, not a curated record. The transcript has 4 exons. Lineage: Eukaryota; Metazoa; Mollusca; Bivalvia; Ostreida; Ostreidae.
AUUGGUUCAGGAAUUUUAGUGUUCCUCUGUUCAGCAUUUACAAAGUAUGUUGUACAAUGUAAAAAAAAAUAUAUUACUUUUUAAUGCAUGUUCAAGAUCAUAUUCAGCACUUAUUUUGAUUAUUUAAUAGUUGCAGUGGACUGUGCCUGAGACGAUUCCCCACAGCGCCCGCGUAUAUAGUCAGCUUGUGAAAUUGGAAUCCGAAUACUCACAAGAAGGACAAAACCAGUAUGAAAAUUAACACAAAGAAAUUGUGCCAGAAAUGUUUGAAGUAUCUAUGGGAAUGAUCUGACAACAUCGAACUUGCUGAGCCUUCCUUCUUAAAGUGACAUGACCUGAUAUUUGGCUACCCAGUUUGAGAUACGAACUAAUCAUUUGUUGUACGACUUAUUGUGUAUGAGAUUGCCACCAUUUACUGGAACUUUGAAUUUCCUGUCCACUUUAAACCCCAGCUAUCUACAGUUAUCUUUCUGCUAAAUGAAAUAAAAUACUGUGGAGGAACACGGAGAAAAGGGCACCUCAACAUGUUCAAGGUCAAGCAGGUAAACACAGUGGUAAAAUGCUCAAAAAAAAAGAUGGCAAAAAGUUACUAGUCCCCAAUUU